This is a long non-coding RNA of Cuculus canorus (common cuckoo), 316 nucleotides long. RefSeq lists it as uncharacterized. Lineage: Eukaryota; Metazoa; Chordata; Aves; Cuculiformes; Cuculidae. The transcript is spliced from 3 exons. The record is from RefSeq and is a predicted model, not a curated record.
CCACCCCCCACCCCCUCCGCGGAUGAACAAUACAGGCAGGAAAAAGGAAUAGCAGGGCUACAGGAGAGAGUGAGACAAGUGAAGCUCAGUCACCAUCCAAAAUAAAGACAUUCUUCAGUCCAGCUUUUCUAUAUUCCUUUUCACUCCAGCUUGCCCUUUUGAAUUUGCAGCUAGCAAAAGGAGACAGAUUUCAGCCCUUACUGCUGAGCCCUGCCCUGUGUGGUUUCCCCGCAUGUAAGCUCGGUUCACCAGGUCGAAGAGCACAAUUUCUGCCGAGACCGAGGUCUCUGUGCUGCUUGGAUGAACUGGCUGAAAA